GAUGAACGCUAGCGGCAGGCCUAAUACAUGCAAGUCGGACGGGAUUCAGGAGCUUGCUUCUGAUGAGAGUGGCGCACGGGUGCGUAACACGUAUGUAACCUACCUUUAUCAGGGGGAUAGCCUCUCGAAAGAGAGAUUAAGCCCGCAUAAAAUCACAGCACAGCAUUGUGUAAUGAUCAAAUAUUUAUAGGAUAAAGAUGGGCAUGCGGAACAUUAGCUAGAUGGCGGGGUAACGGCCCACCAUGGCGACGAUGUUUAGGGGAUCUGAGAGGAUGGCCCCCCAGACUGGUACUGAGAAACGGACCAGACGCCUACGGGAGGCAGCAGUAAGGAAGAUUGGUCAAUGGGCGGAAGCCUGAACCAGCCAUGCCGCGUGCAGGAAGACGGCCCUACGGGUUGUAAACUGCUUUUAUACGGGAAUAAACCCAGAUACGUGUAUCUGGCUGAAUGUACUGUAAGAAUAAGGAGCGGCUAACUCCGUG
RNAcentral lists this ribosomal RNA (482 nucleotides) under uncultured bacterium. Its description in RNAcentral is "partial 16S ribosomal RNA". It matches the Rfam family "Bacterial small subunit ribosomal RNA", at positions 28 to 507 of the family's 1533-position model. The record is from RNAcentral.